RNAcentral lists this ribosomal RNA (476 nucleotides) under uncultured Bordetella sp. RNAcentral describes it as "bacterial SSU rRNA". It matches the Rfam family "Bacterial small subunit ribosomal RNA", at positions 903 to 1382 of the family's 1533-position model. The record is from RNAcentral. Lineage: Bacteria; Pseudomonadati; Pseudomonadota; Betaproteobacteria; Burkholderiales; Alcaligenaceae.
UACAAAGGAAUUGACGGGACCCGCACAAGCGGUGGAUGAUGUGGAUUAAUUCGAUGCAACGCGAAAACCUUACCUACCCUUGACAUGUCCGGAAUCCCGAAGAGAUUUGGGAGUGCUCGCAAGAGAACCGGAACACAGGUGCUGCAUGGCUGUCGUCAGCUCGUGUCGUGAGAUGUUGGGUUAAGUCCCGCAACGAGCGCAACCCUUGUCAUUAGUUGCUACGAAAGGGCACUCUAAUGAGACUGCCGGUGACAAACCGGAGGAAGGUGGGGAUGACGUCAAGUCCUCAUGGCCCUUAUGGGUAGGGCUUCACACGUCAUACAAUGGUCGGUACAGAGGGUUGCCAACCCGCGAGGGGGAGCUAAUCCCACAAAGCCGAUCGUAGUCCGGAUCGCAGUCUGCAACUCGACUGCGUGAAGUCGGAAUCGCUAGUAAUCGUGGAUCAGCAUGUCACGGUGAAUACGUUCCCGGGUCUU